Long non-coding RNA from Rosa chinensis, 458 nucleotides. RefSeq lists it as uncharacterized. NCBI's taxonomy places the organism in Eukaryota, Viridiplantae, Streptophyta, Magnoliopsida, Rosales, Rosaceae. The transcript is spliced from 3 exons. The record is from RefSeq and is a predicted model, not a curated record.
AUGGGGGGCCGAAAGUCUCCGCCUUCGUCGCUGCUGUGCGCCGCGGCAACUACCGGACCGGAGAAAAACAAUGAGAAAUGAAGAGCUAAUGUGGCUGGAGGAAUUCUUAUUGAAGUAGCAUGUUUAACAUUGCCGAUUGUUAAACUAACUUUCCCUCGUGUUAUUGUACUCCAACUCAAAGUUACUACUUGAUACAAUUGGUCAGGGACUAUGGAAUAAAAUGAAGCUUUUUGAUGCAGAACAGUUUACUAUCAGUGCUUUGGCUGGCACUGCAACCGAGGUGAUUGUUUCUUGGCCUAUUCACCAUGUAAUUUGGUCUGUUUUCUAUUUAGUUAAUCAAUAGUUUUUCAAUUUUGGAUAGAAAACUCAGUUAAUGGGAUAAGUUGGGAUUUGGGAUUAGACUGAGCAACUUGCCUACUUGCUGUUGUGAUACUAUGCAGGCAUGAUGCAGAAGCUAA